AUGGUGGCCCAGUGGCAUUCGCCCACCCGGCUUUUCCGGAGGUUAAGAGCUCCCGGAAUAAGGCCUGGCCAAGCCCGUGCAGCCGCCGCCGGUAAUACCCGCGCCCGAGUGUGGCCCGCUAUUAUUGGGCCUAAAGCGUCCGUAGCCGGGCCCGCAAGUCCCUGGCGAAAUCCCACGGCUCAACCGUGGGGCUUGCUGGGGAUACUGCGGGCCUUGGGACCGGGAGAGGCGGAGGGUACUCCUGGGGUAGGGGUGAAAUCCUAUAAUCCCAGGAGGACCGCCAGUGGCGAAGGCGCUCCGCUGGAACGGGUCCGACGGUGAGGGACGAAGGCCAGGGGAGCGAACCGGAUUAGAUACCCGGGUAGUCCUGGCUGUAAAGGAUGCGGGCUAGGUGUCGGGCGAGCUUCGUGCUCGCUCGGUGCCGAAGGGAAGCCGUUAAGCCCGCCGCCUGGGGAGUACGGCCGCAAGGCUGAAACUUAAAGGAAUUGGCGGGGGAGCACUACAAGGGGUGGAGCGUGCGGUUUAAUUGGAUUCAACGCCGGGAACCUCACCGGGGGCGACGGCAGGAUGAAGGCCAGGCUGAAGGUCUUGCCGGACACGCCGAGAGGAGGUGCAUGGCCGCCGUCAGCUCGUACCGUGAGGCGUCCACUUAAGUGUGGUAACGAGCGAGACCCGCGCCCCCAGUUGCCAGUCCUCCCCGCUGGGGAGGAGGCACUCUGGGGGGACCGCCGGCGAUAAGCCGGAGGAAGGAGCGGGCGACGGUAGGUCAGUAUGCCCCGAAACCCCCGGGCUACACGCGCGCUACAAUGAGCGGGACAAUGGGACCCGACCCCGAAAGGGGAAGGUAAUCCCCUAAACCCGCUCCCAGUUCGGAUCGCGGGCUGCAACUCGCCCGCGUGAAGCUGGAAUCCCUAGUACCCGCGUGUCAUCAUCGCGCGGCGAAUACGUCCCUGCUCCUUGCACACACCGCCCGUCACUCCACCCGAGCGGGGUCUGGAUGAGGCCUGAUCUCCCUUCGGGGAGGCCGGGUCGAGUCUGGGCUCCGUGAGGGGGGAGAAGUCGUAACAAGGUAACAAUCACUAGUGAAUUCGCGGCCGCCUGCAGGUCGACCAUAUGGGAGAGCUCCCAACGCGUUGGAUGCAUAGCUUGAGUAUUCUAUAGUUCACCUAAAGACCA
RNAcentral lists this ribosomal RNA (1176 nucleotides) under Thermococcus sp. AF1T20.11. Its description in RNAcentral is "bacterial SSU rRNA". It matches the Rfam family "Archaeal small subunit ribosomal RNA", at positions 381 to 1478 of the family's 1478-position model. Lineage: Archaea; Methanobacteriati; Methanobacteriota; Thermococci; Thermococcales; Thermococcaceae. The record is from RNAcentral.